CAUUGCAUUGGUACCAUAGAGGUAUAUAUUAACAUAGAGUGAGCCCUCACUCCGCCACCACUGACGACAAGAUCUCUUCGACUGGUUUGCGGUAUCUCUUUCUAGCACAAUGUAUCGAGAAACAUAACAUGAAACUAAGUGGGGGUACGGGACGGCAAGUGAAAUAAGGAGAAUUACUUUAUUCUUCUUUUUUCUUUAAUUAUUAUGACAAGUGACAAGACAACAUAACCCAAAUAAUUUAAUCCGGCCCUAUUUCUAUUUUUGAACAAAAUGUUGGAAAUAUCUUAGUUUAUUUUUAGUUCUAGCUUAUUUAUGGCUAGAUUGAAAAUCUGAAUUUUCUAAUAUUGGUUCAUGAUUAUCAUCAGGGACUUGAUUCGGUUCUUAAACAGAAUCAAUGGCUCUCUAAAAAUAUGAUACUCCAUUGGUCACCCCAAGAGGAAUACGACAAAAUUGGUAAAGGCAUCCACUUUCCUCAAAAGCUGUACAUGGUUUGUCAGAUUCAUGAAUUGGCUAUUCUCAUUUAAAAAAAUAUUUGAUUACGUCAUCACGCCCAGAUGGAUGACGUCACUAGUAUGUUGUAUACAGUAGAACCCCGAAAAUCCGAACUAAUUGGGGGGACAGCCUGUUCGGAUUCUGAAAAGUUCGGAUUAUUCGAAAGUCAGCCUAACCAGUAAUUCAAAGCUCUCCUGCAAAACGUGUAACCUGGCUAUGAGAAAACCGAAGUAAAUUUAUGUUUAACCUUUAUAAGCACUACAUAUAAAGUACCUACGUAUUUAUUUUUAAGAAAUUUUAAAUGUCAAAGUCCUACGAAUCCAAUAUUGUUCAAUUUUCUGGUUAUACUUUGUAUAAUAAACAUGUAUUUAAGUUUUUGUCUUGAAUUUAAAAAAAAAUCACUUUCCGUUAGUUUGGAUUUGCAGGGUUCUACUGUAUGUCAAAAAUAUAUAUGAGGGGGGCAAAAUAUAUUGAAUAACCCUGUACAUCAAGAAAUUUACUACCAACGUCUCUGUUACUGAAUAUAUCACUAAGUACAGGGCAACCUAUUUAAAACUUAAAAAAUCAGCUAAAAAAUUAAACUAUCAAAAUCAUCUGAGAAGCUUUAAAAGUGUUGCAAAAGAAAUUUGGUCCAUAAUAAACAAUCUUCUUCGAAAUCAAACUCACAAAGCUCAAACAUUUUCCCUUCCAGACCAUGAAUACUUUAUUAAUGUGAGUAAAAUUAUAACAUCAACUAUUUUGUCACAAGAGAUCAAUUUUGUUAAGAUCCGAUUUCCUAUCUCCCUAAUUCAAGAAAGGUCUCAAAUUCAUUAUUUAUAAGACUAGUUGAUUAAUCUGAACUGAUCCAAACAAUCAAUAGUAUCAAAAGCAAAUCUUCCUGUAGUACUGAUGGACUAUCCAUAAAAAUUGUCUCAAAUCUCCCAGAAAAUGUGUUGGGAGUCCGCAUCCCACUAAUGACUCUUUUAAGGGGCUAUCCUAGUGUAAAAGAACGAAAUUCACAUACUUUUUUUGGGAAUAUCUAAAAUAAAAAGUACUGUACCAAUUGUUUUGAAAAUUUGCAUGACUAUUUAUUAUAAAAAGAAGUACAAGUAAAACAAUUUUCAUAAAAAAAAAUAAUGAAAAUUUAACGAUUUAUGCCCUAUCUACUGGCACAGUGAAAAUAAAAAACAUGGCUCCACUGCUGCAGCGAUUGGGACUAAUAGAGAUCCUGAAUUAUAAAAUUGCAAAUACAUAUUGAUUAUUGAAAUAUUAGUUAUUUCCUAUACCAUCAAUUAGGAUUUUUGGAAAAAUGACGAAGUGUUGAAAUUUUUUUAAAUUAGCUAGAACAUUUUCAGUUUCAAAAACCGCCAAAUUGACAUUUUUUAUCCGAUUAAAAAAAUCCCUAUUUGAUGGUAUAGAAAAUAACCUAUAUUUCAAUAAUAACUUUUGAUAUUUUAUGUUUCAGGAUCUCUUUUAGUCCCAAUCACUGCAGCAGUGGAGCUAUGUUUUUAUUUUCACGGUGCUAGUAGAUGGCGAAUAAAUCGUUUAAUUUUCAAUAUUUUUUUAUGAAAAUUGUUUCACAUGUACUUUUUAUAACAAAUGUUCAGUAGUAAUAACCAGAGGACAUUGAUAAUUGUUCGAAAAAUUUUUAUAACAGAUUUCGAAAGCUUGUUCCUUGGAAACAGACCGACGCCGUAGGCGGAGGUCUGUUGCCUGUAAGCAACAAGCUUGAGAAAGUUGUUAAAAAAUUUUUGAGCAUUUAUCAAUGUUCGAGGGUUAUUCGGAUAGAAAAUUUUUUGCUGAUAUAAAAUUAAUAAUAAUUUCAUUAAUAUUCUCAUCACUAUUACAACCAAAUCGUGACAUUUUGAAAUAUUGAAUAUUUGAAAUGUCAAAAUUGAAAUGAAACGAAAUGUAGGUAUCCAUAGCUACAUGAUUGAGUGAAAACAGCCCAUGGGAUCUGUUUUCAGUAUAAUGUUGGUUUUAUUGGUUGUAUUCAAUCAGAUGACCACAAAUUAAUUGAUUUCAUUGGAUUUCUAAUUGAGCAAAAAAUUUUCAAAAUAAUUGGUACAGUACUUUUUAUUUUAGAAAUUCCCAAAAAAGUAUAUGAAUUUCAUACUUUUACACUAGGAUAGCCCCUUAAGAAAGGUAAAUUUCUAGAGCUGCCUAAAGACAGCCAUCAUUAUUCCUCUUCAUAAGGGUGGUGAAAAAUCUAAUGCCUGCAAUUAUAGACCUAUUGCAUUACUACUGGUACUCUCAAAUAGGACUCAUAUUACACAAGUAUAAAAACUUGUUGCUGGUAUGAGCACAUUGUGUAAAUGUUAGGAUUUAAAGAGGAUAUAAAAACCUUCAAUACAAUUAUGAGCGUUAGUCUCUUUAUAUCCUAACAUUUUUUUUGUUAUUGUUUUAGUUUAUUAUUGUUUUUUAUGACUCUGUAAGUUUUGUGUAUAAAUUGUACAAUUUUCCAUGACAAUAAAGCAUUUUUCUAUUCUAA
Molecule: long non-coding RNA, 2962 nt
Filed under: Diabrotica virgifera virgifera (western corn rootworm)
Lineage: Eukaryota; Metazoa; Arthropoda; Insecta; Coleoptera; Chrysomelidae
Description: uncharacterized LOC126882119
Source: RNAcentral